AACUAUUUUUCUGGAAAUUUUUAUCAAUUCUGGAAUAUUUUUACCAAUUUGUAUUAUAAAAUUAACAAUUGUUUAUAUAGUAGAAUUUUAGAACAUACGUAAAUAUAAAUCUCACAUAUAGUUUCUCUCCAUAUUAAUUUUCAUAGUUUUGUUAUUUUGAAGAUUAUACUUUUUAAAAUUAUACGAUAUAAUUAGAAUACGAAGAAUUAUAAUAAUGCAGAAAUAUUUAAAUUCAUAAUAAUUUUGGUGUUUAAAUAUAUUGAUAAACGUUCGUAAUAAUAAUAAUAAUAAUAAUCCAUUUUAAAUAUAUCUUGUUCUAAAAUAAGAUUUAAUUGUCUAUAUUAAUGUUAUUUAACUAUAUUACGUGGAAAUCGACAAUGUGGAAUUUAUAAUGGUCUAAUCUCGUGAUUUGUCUUGUAAAAACAAAUUCUAUGACGCAGUGUUUAAAGAAUCAUGUGGAUAAAGAAAAUUCAUCAAUUCCGAAGCACACGUAACCUUAUUACGGGCACGAUUGCCUUAAUUUUUUUCUGUAGAAGAUAAAAUCGAGAUAAAGGUCGAAAGAUCCGUGGAUUUGUUCAAUUGUCAUUAAUAAAUGCAAAAAUUUGUAAUGUAAUGUCAUCUCGUGUUUCAUUAGAAUCCAUUGCAUGCAUUGAAUCCAUAGAAUCCAUAGAAUGCAUUGUAUUUUCUUGUAAAAGUGGUGAAGAAAGUUUUGACUCUAGUGUUCUUAAAUGUCGUGAAAAAAUUCAUCCAAUAUGCCUGUCUGACACUGCACACUGUCAGAAUACACAGGCAGCCUUAAAAUGUUAUGCAGAAGCAUGACUUUACAGCUAUUCUAUUCUAUCAUUUUUAAAUAUACAAGAAGAAGAAUUUAGUUGUGAAUAUUAAUUUAGAUGAAAAUGAUUUAAGUAUAUCAAAAGAACAUUAAUAUCAAUGUAUCAUGUAACAAGAUGAACGAGAUAAAAUAGUAAGUAUUGGUAAGAAGAUUGAUAUGAAGUAUAUGAUAAAAAAAAUGCUUUCCAAUAAAGACUCUCCAAUAUUUUUAAUUAAUUUUAUAGUUAUUAUUGAAUUAGUUAAAUUAAUUAUUUGACUUUAUCAAUGAACUUUAUCAAUUUGAUUAUCAGCAAAUUUAAUUUCAGGACAUUUAAUUUUAACAUUAUUAGGUAUUUUUAUUAGAAAUUUUAUUGCAAUAAUUCCAAUUAAUUUAUUAAU
Molecule: long non-coding RNA, 1209 nt
Organism: Apis cerana (Asiatic honeybee)
Lineage: Eukaryota; Metazoa; Arthropoda; Insecta; Hymenoptera; Apidae
Source: RefSeq, a predicted model, not a curated record